CCUACGGGUGGCUGCAGUGGGGAAUAUUGGACAAUGGGGGCAACCCUGAUCCAGCCAUGCCGCGUGUGUGAAGAAGGCCCUCGGGUUGUAAAGCACUUUCAGUGAGGAAGAACGCCUGGUGGUUAAUACCCAUCAGGAAAGACAUCACUCACAGAAGAAGCACCGGCUAACUCCGUGCCAGCAGCCGCGGUAAUACGGAGGGUGCGAGCGUUAAUCGGAAUUACUGGGCGUAAAGCGCGCGUAGGUGGCUUGAUAAGCCGGUUGUGAAAGCCCCGGGCUCAACCUGGGAACGGCAUCCGGAACUGUCAAGCUAGAGUGCAGGAGAGGAAGGUAGAAUUCCCGGUGUAGCGGUGAAAUGCGUAGAGAUCGGGAGGAAUACCAGUGGCGAAGGCGGCCUUCUGGACUGACACUGACACUGAGGUGCGAAAGCGUGGGUAGCACACAGGAUUAGAUACACGUGUAGUC
RNAcentral lists this ribosomal RNA (465 nucleotides) under Vreelandella stevensii. RNAcentral describes it as "partial 16S ribosomal RNA". It matches the Rfam family "Bacterial small subunit ribosomal RNA", at positions 338 to 795 of the family's 1533-position model. The record is from RNAcentral. Lineage: Bacteria; Pseudomonadati; Pseudomonadota; Gammaproteobacteria; Oceanospirillales; Halomonadaceae.